This 94-nucleotide small nucleolar RNA is filed under the name Sus scrofa (pig). RNAcentral's name for it is "Small nucleolar RNA SNORA22 (ENSSSCG00070016566.1)". The record is from RNAcentral. Lineage: Eukaryota; Metazoa; Chordata; Mammalia; Artiodactyla; Suidae.
AAGCAUAAAUUAUGUUAGAGCAACGUCUCUUUUCUUCCUUUGCCUUAAAAGGACUACUUAUCCUUUUAAAUGUAUUCAGAAAGUCAUCCCACUG